GUUGUAUAGUUAAGUGACUAAGCGUACAAGGUGGAUGCCUUGGCAAUCAGAGGCGAAGAAGGACGUGCUAAUCUGCGAAAAGCUUGGAUGAGUCGAUAAGAGGCGUUUAAUCCAAGAUAUCCGAAUGGGGAAACCCAGUAGAUGAAGAAUCUACUAUCAACAAGUGAAUUCAUAGCUUGUUGAGGCAAACCGGGAGAACUGAAACAUCUAAGUACCCCGAGGAAAAGAAAUCAACCGAGAUUUCGUCAGUAGCGGCGAGCGAAAGCGAAAGAGCCAGUAAGUGAUAGCAGUAUAGUUAGGAGAAUGUGUUGGGAAACACAAUCAAAGAGGGUGAUAAUCCCGUAUCUAAAAACCAUAUUGUGGUACUAAGCUAACGAGAAGUAGGGCGGGACACGUGAUAUCCUGUUUGAAGAAGGGGGGACCAUCCUCCAAGGCUAAAUACUCCUGAUUGACCGAUAGUGAACCAGUACUGUGAAGGAAAGGCGAAAAGAACCCCGGUGAGGGGAGUGAAAUAGAACCUGAAACCUUGUACGUACAAGCAGUGGGAGCGAGGGCAACCUUGUGACUGCGUACCUUUUGUAUAAUGGGUCAGCGACUUAUAUUUUGUAGCGAGGUUAACUGAAUAAGGGAGCCGAAGGGAAACCGAGUCUUAACUGGGCGAAUAGUUGCAAGGUAUAGACCCGAAACCCGGUGAUCUAGCCAUGGGCAGGUUGAAGGUUGGGUAACACUAACUGGAGGACCGAACCGACUAAUGUUGAAAAAUUAGCGGAUGACUUGUGGCUGGGGGUGAAAGGCCAAUCAAACCGGGAGAUAGCUGGUUCUCCCCGAAAUCUAUUUAGGUAGAGCCUUGAGCUUACACCUUUGGGGGUAGAGCACUGUUUCGGCUAGGGGUCCAUCCCGGAUUACCAACCCGAUGCAAACUACGAAUACCAAAGAGUGAUACUCAGGAGACACACGGCGGGUGCUAACGUCCGUCGUGGAGAGGGAAACAACCCAGACCGCCAGCUAAGGUCCCCAAGUCUAUAUUAAGUGGGAAACGAAGUGGGAAGGCUUAGACAGCUAGGAUGUUGGCUUAGAAGCAGCCAUCAUUUAAAGAAAGCGUAAUAGCUCACUAGUCGAGUCGGCCUGCGCGGAAGAUGUAACGGGGCUGAAAUAUAGCACCGAAGCUGCGGCAUCAGGCGUAUCACUAAUACGCCUUACGAUUAACAAGCUAGAAUGGCACGAAGCGUCAUGAAAGGUUGUUCAAGCAACCCGAACGUUGAGUCGGGCAUAUUUGAGUGAGGAUUAUUAGUGAUACGCCUGUUGGGUAGGGGAGCGUUGUGUAAGCGGAUGAAGGUUCAUCGAGAGGUGGGUUGGACGUAUCACAAGUGCGAAUGCUGACAUAAGUAACGAUAAAACGGGUGAAAAACCCGUUCGCCGGAAGACCAAGGGUUCCUGUCCAACGUUAAUCGGGGCAGGGUGAGUCGGCUCCUAAGGCGAGGCUGAAAAGCGUAGUCGAUGGGAAACAGGUUAAUAUUCCUGUACUUGGUAAAGCUGCGAUGUGGGGACGGAGUAGGUUAGGUUAUCGCACUGUUGGAUAUGUGCGUUUAAGUUGGUAGGUGGGAUGUUUAGGCAAAUCCGGACUUCCUUAACACAGAGAGAUGAUGACGAGGCUCUACGGAGCUGAAGUAACUGAUACCACACUUCCAGGAAAAGCCACUAAGCGAAAGGCUUUACUAAACCGUACUGAAAACCGACACAGGUGGUCAGGUAGAGAAUACUCAGGCGCUUGAGAGAACUCGGGUGAAGGAACUAGGCAAAAUAGCACCGUAACUUCGGGAGAAGGUGCGCCGGCGUAGAUUGUAAGGGCUAGCCCCUGAAGGUUGAACCGGUCGAAGAUACCAGCUGGCUGCAACUGUUUAUUAAAAACACAGCACUCUGCAAACACGAAAGUGGACGUAUAGGGUGUGAUGCCUGCCCGGUGCUGGAAGGUUAAUUGAUGGUGUCAUCGAAAGAGAAGCACCUGAUCGAAGCCCCAGUAAACGGCGGCCGUAACUAUAACGGUCCUAAGGUAGCGAAAUUCCUUGUCGGGUAAGUUCCGACCUGCACGAAUGGCAUAAUGAUGGCCAGGCUGUCUCCACCCGAGACUCAGUGAAAUUGAAAUCGCCGUGAAGAUGCGGUGUACCCGCGGCUAGACGGAAAGACCCCGUGAACCUUUACUAUAGCUUGACACUGAACAUUGAAUUUUGAUGUGUAGGAUAGGUGGGAGACUUAGAAGCAGUCACGCCAGUGAUUGUGGAGUCAUCCUUGAAAUACCACCCUUUAACGUUUGAUGUUCUAACGAAGAUGACGAAACGUGGUCUCGGACAGUGUCUGGUGGGUAGUUUGACUGGGGCGGUCUCCUCCCAAAGCGUAACGGAGGAGCACGAAGGUUUGCUAAUCACGGUCGGACAUCGUGAGGUUAGUGCAAUGGUAUAAGCAAGCUUAACUGCGAGACAGACAAGUCGAGCAGGUACGAAAGUAGGUCAUAGUGAUCCGGUGGUUCUGAAUGGAAGGGCCAUCGCUCAACGGAUAAAAGGUACUCCGGGGAUAACAGGCUGAUACCGCCCAAGAGUUCAUAUCGACGGCGGUGUUUGGCACCUCGAUGUCGGCUCAUCACAUCCUGGGGCUGAAGUAGGUCCCAAGGGUAUGGCUGUUCGCCAUUUAAAGUGGUACGCGAGCUGGGUUUAGAACGUCGUGAGACAGUUCGGUCCCUAUCUGCCGUGGGCGUUGGAUGAUUGAUUGGGGCUGCUCCUAGUACGAGAGGACCGGAGUGGACGCAUCACUGGUGUUCCAGUUGUCUCGCCAGAGGCAUUGCUGGGUAGCUAAAUGCGGAAGAGAUAAGUGCUGAAAGCAUCUAAGCACGAAACUUGCCAAGAGAUGAGUCAUCCCUGACUUUAAGUCAGUAAGGGUUGUUGUAGACUACGACGUAGAUAGGUCAGGUGUGUAAGUGUAGUGAUACAUUGAGCUAACAGAUACUAAUUGCCCGAGAGGCUUAACUAUACAACGCUCAAG
RNAcentral lists this ribosomal RNA (3033 nucleotides) under Haemophilus influenzae. Its description in RNAcentral is "bacterial LSU rRNA". It matches the Rfam family "Bacterial large subunit ribosomal RNA". The record is from RNAcentral. Lineage: Bacteria; Pseudomonadati; Pseudomonadota; Gammaproteobacteria; Pasteurellales; Pasteurellaceae.